Molecule: ribosomal RNA, 684 nt
Filed under: uncultured bacterium
Lineage: Bacteria
Description: bacterial SSU rRNA
Rfam family: Bacterial small subunit ribosomal RNA
Source: RNAcentral
AUGCUUAACACAUGCAAGUCGAACGGCAGCAUGUAUUUUCUUCGGAAAAUAUAAUGGCGAGUGGCGGACGGGUGAGUAACGCGUAGGAAUCUACCUAAGAGUGGGGGACAACUUCAGGAAACUGGAGCUAAUACCGCAUAAUAUCUUUGGAUCAAAGCCGGGGACCUUUUGGCCUGGCGCUUUUAGAUGAGCCUGCGUCAGAUUAGCUUGUUGGUAGGGUAAUGGCCUACCAAGGCAACGAUCUGUAGCUGGUUUGAGAGGAUGACCAGCCACACUGGGACUGAGACACGGCCCAGACUCCUACGGGAGGCAGCAGUGGGGAAUAUUGGACAAUGGGCGAAAGCCUGAUCCAGCAAUGCCGCGUGUGCGACGAAGGCCUUCGGGUCGUAAAGCACUUUCAAUGGGGAAGAAAAGCACAGAAUUAAUACCUUUGUGCCUUGACGUUAUCCAUACAAGAAGCACCGGCUAACUCUGUGCCAGCAGCCGCGGUAAUACAGAGGGUGCAAGCGUUAAUCGGAGUUACUGGGCGUAAAGCGCGCGUAGGCCGGCAUAAAAGUCAGAUGUGAAAUCCCUGGGCUCAACCUAGGAACUGCAUUCGAUACUAUAUGCCUAGAGUAUGGUAGAGGGAAGUGGAAUUUCCGGUGUAGCGGUGAAAUGCAUAGAUAUCGGAAGGAACACCAGUGG